Syngnathus typhle (broad-nosed pipefish) is the source of this 2846-nucleotide long non-coding RNA. RefSeq lists it as uncharacterized. The record is from RefSeq and is a predicted model, not a curated record. Lineage: Eukaryota; Metazoa; Chordata; Actinopteri; Syngnathiformes; Syngnathidae. The transcript is spliced from 2 exons.
GGCAGGCAGGCAGGCAGGCAGCAGAGACGGGAGCGCCGAUGCAACCGGAGGAAGCCGGCACGUCCCGGACUCCCCCCCACAGGAACUCAAUGAUGCCUCGUUGUCUAACAGCGACUUUGCGGUGUUUGAACACAAGAGGGGGGCCUCGUGUUCCCACGGGGGGGGGGGGGGGGGGUCCCUGAAUUUGAAAACAAUCCAUAGCAGAGUUUGCACAGGUUGUUGGUUGGGAACGUAAAAAAUGCACACGCUUGUCACAAUCAACACAGGUGUGUGCGUGAGCGAGCAGGAAGAAGUAGCUGAAUGUUUUGAGGGAGGGGCUCAUUUGUUGUAUUUCAAGUUCAGCCAGAGUUCCCACGCUGUUAUUUUCUGCCCCUCCACUCUUUGUUCUGGCGCCUCAUCACAUAUCGUGAUUAGUCGGGCUGCCCUUUGAAGGUGAGGUACACCCCCUUCGGCCUCAGCCUCCCCCUCCCCAUGCGUCUGUCUGCAAAUCAGGCCACCAACCCAAAUUGCACUCCAGACAAUAGCGGUUUCUGAGACGUUUGGGCGUCUGGAUCUAAUCUUGGCCUUUUUAUUUUGUAUGCUUCAAGGCGACCUGAGACACGUGAUGAGCUUUGAUUUUGAAAGGUCAUCAGGUUCCACUUUGAAGGGGUAACAAACGUCCAUAUUCAAUAAAACAGGCUUACUCAAAGGCAACUACAUAUUUCCACAAAAAAACAUCCCAACUUUCAAUCUUGAGCAAAAAGCGACGAGGAUGACGGAUGACGAGUGAUGCCGAUGACUGACCUUCAGGAAGUCGCCCUAACCUUAAAAACGGCGAAUGCUAAUUGAAGCGUCUGAGAGGCGAGCACUGACGUUUUCCUGUCGUUUCGCCAGAGGAAAUACGACGUCUGACACUGAGUUUGUGCAACUGGUUUCUGUGACGACAGCCCCUUUCACACAUCUUACCGCCCAUAUUGCUAUCCUGGAGACGCUUGAUUAUUCGUCAAAGGCAAGCGAGCAUUUUUAUGGCUUCGAAGGUAUAUACCAGUGGUGGCCAACCCGCGGCUCGCGAGCCGCAUGCGGAUCUUUGGCUGGUUUCAUGCGUUUUUUUUACGUUCAUAUCAACAUUUGUGUUUAUUUUUCGUGCGUAUUUGCUUUGCUUGAGUUCAAUAUGGUAUUUUGGUCAAACGCGCGUGAGGUGUAAUCCCACAAAGUAGGAGGGACAAACCCAUUUGAGGAGUGCCAAUUUCGCUCUCAAAAUGGCAAGGAAAAAAUGCACAGCUAAACGAAUAUAUGACGAUGAACACAGGGCAGAGCGAUUGGUUUUGCUGGCUUUUUAAUGAAUGGCGACUGUGACUACGGGGGCCCAUUAAGCGUCUUUGGGUUCUUGAAAAGCGCUAUACAAAUAUAAUGAAUUAUUAUUAUUAUUAUUAUUAGGUCCAGAAAAGCUGACAAGACGCUAAGCCAGGGGUGGUCAAUAGGGGUGUAACGAUUCAUCGAUACACAUCGAUUAAUCGAUAUAAUGCUCUACGAUUUAUUGGCAUUAGGGGUGUAAAUCGCGGGUUUUGUCACGAUACGAUAUAAUAUCGAUACAAAGAACUACGAUACGAUAUUUGCCGAUAUCUUAAAGCCUGCUGCGAUUCAUUCACGAUAUAUCGCGAUAUAGUGCUCUACGAUCGAUUUUUUUUUUUUUUUUUAAUAAAAAAUAUAGAACAAUAUCCUGAUUUGUAACAAUUCAUACGCAAAUCAACAAGGUACUGCAAACUCUUUAUUUAGGAAAUUACAAGAGUAUUGCAGUAUACAAAGUGCUUAUUUUAACACUGAAUUUUGAUGUCGUGUUUUUUCUUUAAAUGUGCGGCGAGAUUUGUGCUCCCUGAAUAUUUUAUCACCGCAUGGCAGGAUUUACAAACUGCACGUGUCUUGUCGGUUGAGCCAUCUUUUCUUUGGAAUCCAAAGUGCUUCCAAACGAAUGACUUGAAGCCUAAAGGGGAGCAAAUCUCCUCGUCUUUUUGGACACUAGCCAUAGCACCAGCCCAGGAGCCGCGUACUAGUUGUCGACUCCCCUUUCACGUGCCUGCUCUGCUCACAACACAACAACGCCGGGCGCACUGCUCCCGGAAAGAGGAAGCAAGCAACAAUAAACUGGAUUUCAAAAUAAAGUUGCGUCUAAUGUCCGCGGGCAAACACGGCGAUAUAAAUCGAUGUUUACGUUUAGCAUCGAUGCCAAUAAAUCGUAGAGCAUUACCGUUUUUUUCCGUGUAUAGUGCGCCCCCAUGUAUAAUACGCACCCUAAAAAUGGCAUGCUGAUGCUGGAAAAAAGCCUGUACCCAUGUAUAAUACGCACCCAAUUUUUAUGAAUUUUUUUAAUGAAUUUUUUUAUUUUUAUUUUUUUAAGUCCCAAUGAUCGUCACACACGCAGGGAGGCAAUGGGUCCCAUUUUUAUAGUCUUUGGUAUAGUCUUAACUAGGCUGGAUGUAAUUUUUUUUGUGGCGUUGAUUUCUCCGACUGCCAGUAAACGCACCACCGCGCUCCGUGCGCGCACGGGAAAGAGGCGGCUCUGUAUGGGAGAGACGUUGAAGAGGAAUAAAAACACCCUUGGAAACCAAAACUUGCCCCUCGUCGUGACUCGGAGCCGCAACAAAUGUUUCGGAUUUGUAUAGGGUACAUUGUGACAGACAGCAAACGAGCAGGUGAUCGAGCAAGCGUCUGAUACGAGAGCAUUGCGGUCGUAUGGAGCGUGUUUGAAGUGAACAGCAGAGACGAAAGGAACAAGGCAAAGUGUUGUGAAAUAAAAUAUGACCGACCUGUAAUACGCAUUUUGUUAUUUGCUGAUUGAAACUGCUAAUUAAACUGUGAACUGAAACUAA